This 468-nucleotide ribosomal RNA is filed under the name uncultured bacterium. Its description in RNAcentral is "partial 16S ribosomal RNA". It matches the Rfam family "Bacterial small subunit ribosomal RNA", at positions 28 to 507 of the family's 1533-position model. The record is from RNAcentral.
GACGAACGCUGGCGGCGUGCUUAACACAUGCAAGUCGAACGGAAAGGCCCUGCGUUUGUGGGGUGCUCGAGUGGCGAACGGGUGAGUAACACGUGAGUAACAUGCCCUUGACUUUGUGAUAACUUUAGGAAACUGGGGCUAAUACCGGAUAGGAUCUCCUGCUGCAUGGUGGUGGUUGGAAAGUUUCGGCGGUUGGGGAUGGACUCGCGGCUUACCAGCUUGUUGGGGGGGUAGUGGCUUACCAAGUUUUCGACGGGUAGGCGGCAUGAGAGGGUUGCCGGCCUCAAUGGGACUGAGAGACGGCGCAGACGCCUACGGGAGGCAGCAGUGGGGAAUAUUGCAGAAUGGCCGGAAGCCUGAUGCAGCAACGUCGCGUGCGGGAUGACGGCCUACGAGUUGUAAACCGAUUUCGCCGGUAACGAAGCGUGAGUGACGGUAAUGAGUAAAAAAGCAACGGCUAACUACGUG